GCCCGGGUGGUGAAAUUGGUAGACACAAGAGACUUAAAAUCUCUCGGCCUCUGGCUAUACGGGUUCGACCCCCGUCCCGGGCACCA
RNAcentral lists this transfer RNA (86 nucleotides) under Azonexus sp. RNAcentral describes it as "tRNA-Leu". It matches the Rfam family "tRNA". From Rfam's summary of the family: Transfer RNA (tRNA) molecules are approximately 80 nucleotides in length. Their secondary structure includes four short double-helical elements and three loops (D, anti-codon, and T loops). The record is from RNAcentral. RNAcentral also lists the same sequence under 1 other name. Lineage: Bacteria; Pseudomonadati; Pseudomonadota; Betaproteobacteria; Rhodocyclales; Azonexaceae.